Molecule: long non-coding RNA, 241 nt
Organism: Canis lupus familiaris (dog)
Lineage: Eukaryota; Metazoa; Chordata; Mammalia; Carnivora; Canidae
Exons: 3
Source: RefSeq, a predicted model, not a curated record
GGAACCUUGUAUGGGAAAUAGGAACAGUGUUGUCCACAUGUUACACGUGUGGAAGGGGUGUCGUAUAGCGAGUCAACAAUUCUCCUCAUGUGCUCCUCACAAUAGGUAACUGUAACUGCAAUUUUCUUGGCGUACAAACCAACUAAUUUAAAAGUGAAGCUCUUUGUGUGACUGAAUGUUUCCUGCCAUUAAAGUAAUGAAGAUUUUGGAAAGACAUCAUCAAAGCAAAAAUAGGAAAAUC